GACGAACGCUGGCGGCGUGCUUAACACAUGCAAGUCGAGCGGAAAGGCCACUUCGGUGGUCCUCGAGCGGCGAACGGGUGAGUAACACGUGAGUAAUCUGCCCCUCACUUUGGGAUAGCCACCGGAAACGGUGAUUAAUACCGGAUAUGACCAUAUGUCGCAUGGCGUGUGGUGGAAAGUUUUUCGGUGAGGGAUGUGCUCGCGGCCUAUCAGCUUGAUGGUGAGGUAAUGGCUCACCAUGGCUUCGACGGGUAGCCGGCCUGAGAGGGUGACCGGCCACACUGGGACUGAGACACGGCCCAGACUCCUACGGGAGGCAGCAGUGGGGAAUAUUGGACAAUGGGCGGAAGCCUGAUCCAGCAACGCCGCGUGAGGGAUGACGGCCUUCGGGUUGUAAACCUCUUUCAGUACCGACGAAGCGCAAGUGACGGUAGGUACAGAAGAAGCACCGGCCAACUACGUG
RNAcentral lists this ribosomal RNA (463 nucleotides) under uncultured bacterium. RNAcentral's name for it is "partial 16S ribosomal RNA". It matches the Rfam family "Bacterial small subunit ribosomal RNA", at positions 28 to 507 of the family's 1533-position model. The record is from RNAcentral.